UCGUAAGCACACCUCUAAAAGUAUAAGUAUGCAACUAUGACAAACUCAUAUACGUCAGGUCAAAGUGCAGCUUAUGAGAAGGUGACGAUGGGUUACACCCUUAAUAAAGACACGAAUUAUGACAUCAAAAGCCAUAUAAAGGUGGACUUGGACGUAACAAAGAUAUAAAAUCAAAAUGAAAACGAAUCUGAGACAUGCACACAUCGCCCGUCACUCUUGCCCAAAGGUGAGAUAAGUCGUAACAAAGUAGGUGUAACGGAAGUUGCACCUGU
RNAcentral lists this ribosomal RNA (272 nucleotides) under Aporrectodea trapezoides. RNAcentral describes it as "partial 12S ribosomal RNA". The record is from RNAcentral. Lineage: Eukaryota; Metazoa; Annelida; Clitellata; Crassiclitellata; Lumbricidae.